Molecule: non-coding RNA, 2455 nt
Organism: Odocoileus virginianus texanus
Lineage: Eukaryota; Metazoa; Chordata; Mammalia; Artiodactyla; Cervidae
Source: RefSeq, a predicted model, not a curated record
UAUUGAUUUCUUUCACUGAUUUAAGUUCUUUUCUUUUUUCUUUAGUAUUUCUUUCAGCAAGGCUUUAUAAGAGGCAAUUUUAUCUACAUGUGUCUGAAAGUAUCUUGCUUUCACCCUCUUCCUUGAAAAAUAAAGCAGGUGGAACACAGGAGCCUACGUGUAGCUUUUCUUCCCCAGCCCUCUGGAGGUAUCACUGCUAUCCUCUGGCAGUAUAAUGUUGCAUCUGUUUGGUCUGUUUCACACUCAGUCUCUUUCAUCAACUGGAUUUCCUCGUGAUGUUGACAACUUUGGCUUGAGAGUAUUCCAUGGCAUUCCCUCCUGCAGGUAUCUCCUCUUUCAGGUUCCUUUUUGGGCUGUUUUGUGGCUUUGAGCUGUGACAAAACAUGUUUUGCAUACUUACACCUAUGAAUGGCUAAGAUGAUUUAUUAAAGGACACUUGAGGCUGCCCCUCGGACUUUUUUUCAACCUGCCAGCAGAAGGGGAGAGUCUAUAAUUAUGUAACACUAUUGAUGAGUCCAUAAUGCUGCAGAUGAAUCACAGUAAGCGCCAAAGUCUUUAGCAUGUGUUUCUAACUCUUGAACCUUAUAAACCACUGUCUGUCAUAUAAAGGUUACUAACACGUCAAAGGCUCUGGAAACCAUGUUAGGACUGAAUUUUGUUCACUUCACAUUAUAUCUAAAGGCCCUCCACCUUCACUGCUUCUGCUUUGUACCUUUUUUUCACUUGAAAAUGUUUUUACGCUGUCAUAGUUUGCCCCAGACCAUGGAUCUGCUCAUCCAGGCUUCAGACUCAAAUCCUGACUCUGAAGAACACCAGUGUGAGUGACUCUGUUCACCUGUUAAGUCGUCUGUCUCCUCCCAAGGGUGGCUGUGAGGAUUACACAGGAGAUAGAUGACAAAUGCCUGGCAAAAAAAAAAAAGGCCCAAGCUCUGGUGAGCUGGUUCCAGGGGACUGCUUGUCAAUCGCCACGGGAUCCCAAGUGCUACAUGGCUCCACUGUUCACGGCUUCCUGCUUCUGAUUCUUUAAUCUUUCAUUUCUUCAUCUGUCUCCAUGUUCUUAGUUUCACAUAUUCCAGAAUUUUCAGCACUCCCAGUAUAUUCAUGUAUAUUCACGCUUUCCCUAUGACAUCACACAAGUGGGUUUAUGGGGCAGGCAUUCUGUCCUUCUCCACGCUGGGCACAAAACUCCUACUUCUUGCCUCCUCAUCGGGAGGGCCAGCACAAGCACACCAACGGCUCCGGCCAUCUCCCUGGCUCAAGUCCACCAGUCUUAAGUCAGAAUUGAAGGACAGAAGAGUGAAGAUAAGAGGUAGGACUGAGUGACACUUUUACCACCUGCAAGGAGCUUGCUGCUCUAACUCCUCUCAGAACUAACUGAACAGGUGAGCAAUUAAUCUCAGGCCCUGAAAUUACCUCGUAAAAGCAAACUUAAAAAAAAUCACUUUUAUUAUUUUUCUUUCCCCAAGAGGUAAAGGGACCUUAAGAAACUGUUCAAUCCUUGACACGACAGUAAAAGUUCUGCAACUCCAGACGGAAGCGGGACAGGACCAGAUGCAGGCCUUUAGGGCCUAACCUGUGGCUGUUAGCAGGACGCGUGGCUCCUGUAAUACUGGCCCUUACGUCUGUCUCAGAGAGGUGGCCUGUCUCCGGCUGGAUAGUAUUUCUACUGCGUUGCAUGCAUGCGAUGGAAACGCAGAGGAAAAGACACACAUGUGGAGGCUGGCUAAGACUGGUCUAACAUGAAUACAGUGUGUGAUAUGAAACACAAAGAAGAGACCAGCUCCUACCCUGAGCACAGAUUAUGACUCAAAGCACUCAGCCCUUGGAGAAUUUUCUAACUACUGUAGAACCGUUUCAUGUUUAAGUCCACUCUCAUUCGAAGAGCUGCCAAUUCAUGGAAGUAACAGACAGGCGUAUCUAGAUUUAUUUCCAGUCUCAAUCUUUCUGUAUCAAUUGCCCAGAUAAGUGUGUUUAAAGUCAAAUAUCUACAAGGUUCAGUACAUUUUGGCUGGGUUCUAUCUUUGACUUCUACAGAGUUCAGAGGGUUAUAGAUCUUUUCAGUUUCAUGCAGUAGAGCUAUGGGCUGCAAUGGUUUGUGAUACUGGGAUUGUAAGAAAGUAGGUGGAAUGCCUUAGAAAGCCUGGGCUCCGUUUGGAAGUUGAAGACGGGAGGGCUACAGUGAUGGGUUUGCGAUCUUGGGAGUCAUUUAACUCUUCUGGCUUCUCUUUUGCUCUCUAUGAGGAGAACUCAUGCCAACAUCACACAACGUAUCUAAAGUGCUGUGGAUGCUCCAGAGAAAGACUCUCUACACAGACCUUUUAAAGCUGCAUCUCUGCAGACACAGAGAACAGACUUGUGGACACGGGAGGAGAGGAAGAGGGUGGGAUGAAUCGAGAGAGGAGCAUGUUAACAUAGAUACUAUCAUGUAUUUAGAACUUGAAUUCCGUAUCACUUA